UCAGACUUGAUCUAAACUUUAAUGCUCAAUCAAAUUGAGCUAAUUAGUUAUCUAAUCACUAAUUAAUCCUUCAUUAAUGAUAGUGUCUAAGUCUAGUGGGAUUCUUCUCUAGAGUUUUCAUCCAAUGGGACUCUUCACUAGAGUCUCCAUCCACUGUGACUAUUCAGAUUAGUCAUGUGAUCGAAGAGAAACUUCUAAUGUAUUUGACCCCA
RNAcentral lists this long non-coding RNA (212 nucleotides) under Elaeis guineensis (African oil palm). RNAcentral's name for it is "long non-coding RNA (EGUI_LNC056870)". The record is from RNAcentral. Lineage: Eukaryota; Viridiplantae; Streptophyta; Magnoliopsida; Arecales; Arecaceae.